UACAGGGGGUGCAAACGUUGCUCGGAAUCAUUGGGCGUAAAGCGCACGUAGGCGGUUCGUUAUGUCGGAUGUGAAAGCCCUCGGCUUAACUGAGGAAGUGCAUCCGAAACUGGCGAGCUAGAGUACUAAAGAGGGUCGCGGAAUUCCCGGUGUAGAGGUGAAAUUCGUAGAUAUCGGGAGGAACACCGGUGGCGAAGGCGGCGACCUGGGUAGAUACUGACGCUGAGGUGCGAAAGCGUGGGGAGCAAACAGG
Molecule: ribosomal RNA, 253 nt
Filed under: uncultured bacterium
Lineage: Bacteria
Also listed under: 1 other name
Description: partial 16S ribosomal RNA
Rfam family: Bacterial small subunit ribosomal RNA
Source: RNAcentral